RNAcentral lists this ribosomal RNA (433 nucleotides) under uncultured bacterium. RNAcentral describes it as "partial 16S ribosomal RNA". It matches the Rfam family "Bacterial small subunit ribosomal RNA", at positions 29 to 507 of the family's 1533-position model. The record is from RNAcentral.
AACGAACGCUGGCGGCAUGCCUAACACAUGCAAGUCGAACGAGACCUUCGGGUCUAGUGGCGCACGGGUGCGUAACACGUGGGAAUCUGCCCUUUGCUUCGGAAUAACAGUUAGAAAUGACUGCUAAUACCGGAUGAUGUCGAAAGACCAAAGAUUUAUCGGCAAAGGAUGAGCCCGCGUAGGAUUAGGUAGUUGGUGGGGUAAAGGCCUACCAAGCCGACGAUCCUUAGCUGGUCUGAGAGGAUGAUCAGCCACACUGGGACUGAGACACGGCCCAGACUCCUACGGGAGGCAGCAGUGGGGAAUAUUGGACAAUGGGCGAAAGCCUGAUCCAGCAAUGCCGCGUGAGUGAUGAAGGCCUUAGGGUUGUAAAGCUCUUUUACCAGGGAUGAUAAUGACAGUACCCGGAGAAUAAGCUCCGGCUAACUCCGUG